RNAcentral lists this ribosomal RNA (348 nucleotides) under Triticum aestivum (bread wheat). RNAcentral describes it as "partial small subunit ribosomal RNA". Lineage: Eukaryota; Viridiplantae; Streptophyta; Magnoliopsida; Poales; Poaceae. The record is from RNAcentral.
AUGGAUCAUCGCUACCCGUUGGCACACAAGCAACCAGCAAACUGUCACCAGCCACUAGUCUCGGCAGCCAGGCCUAAUUUCAAGAUACUGCCACCAAUGUGGAACACGAGACCCCGAGCGCAAAGCCACGGACCACACGUCGACGCCUUCAGCAUGGUAACGACGCCCGCAGGCUCCGCCGCCGUUGGCUCCGACGAUAGUCAAAGUCUGGCUUUUGCCGACAAUCUUCGUCUCUCCAGAAGAAAGAGCCUAGUUGCACCGCCAUGUCCACCUUCGACACCACAUGACCACCCCGGUAGGAGGACCGGAUCCAUCCAGGUCGUACAAUCCCGAGGCAUGCCACGAUGA